This is a long non-coding RNA of Aricia agestis (brown argus), 77 nucleotides long. RefSeq lists it as uncharacterized. The record is from RefSeq and is a predicted model, not a curated record. The transcript has 3 exons. NCBI's taxonomy places the organism in Eukaryota, Metazoa, Arthropoda, Insecta, Lepidoptera, Lycaenidae.
UAAUGUCUAAUCUAUUAAUAAUCAGACAAUGUGCUAUUGUGCGGUUUUUGCUGUUAUGCGAUUUUUGGCAUCUAGAA